Long non-coding RNA from Alnus glutinosa, 3219 nucleotides. RefSeq lists it as uncharacterized. The transcript is spliced from 7 exons. The record is from RefSeq and is a predicted model, not a curated record. Lineage: Eukaryota; Viridiplantae; Streptophyta; Magnoliopsida; Fagales; Betulaceae.
ACCGUCUUCUUCUGCGAUAAAACCCCGCCACUUUCCCUUCCGACUCGGUCCGAGCUUGGGACACCGAAGGUGAGUUCCUCUUCAUCGAGGCCGCCAUCCACCUUUCCCACUAGCUCAACCCCAAUACCAGACCCAAGCUCCAGACUUGAUGCUCCUUGUCGACCCGUCCAAGCCACCGGACCCAAAAAGCCCUCUCCAGGCACAGCAGGUUCACGAGCCUGCAGGGGCAGUAGCAGCAAACGGCCGCGCGGGGUGGGCUUUUCCGAUUUUGGUGUUUUGGUUCAAUGGCAGAAUCGGGUGGGUUUCGAAUCCUCGAUCGAAUCCCCUUGUUGUGCUGUGUUUUUCUGAUUUUGGUGUUUUGGUUCAAUGGCAAAAUCAGCGUCAGUAUAUUUCCAAUUCCCGAAUUGAUAAAGCUCGUACUCUCCCGCGCUUUUUUCCUCGGGAGAAAUGUCAGCGAGCGAAGAAGCUCAACCAUCAAGCACGAACUCCGAUCCUAAAGGUCAGACGCUGAAGUUCGCCGUGGCCAUCACUCUUCUCCGAUCGAAGCUUCUUCAAAACCAGUCCAAUCCUUCUGAGUCCGACGCUCUCCGAUGGAAGCGAAAGGCUAAGGAGCGAAAGCAAGAGAUACUGAGACUCAGAAGAUCUCAAGGAAGCAGAAGAUGCUACGCAGUAUGAUCUGUUCCCGCAAAGCGCUUCUUGCAAGUGCUAUUUCUUUGAUAAUUUGGGGAAAUUGAGCUCUGCGCGACUUGGAGACGGCUCUGAUCGCAGAUUCAACGACGUUCUUCGCCGGAGAUUUCUCAGACAAGUUUAUAUCAUCGAAAUCAUCAUAACCAUCAUCAUUGUCGCGAUUGAUUAUUCUAUUUAUGUCCGAUUGGUGUUCAGAAAUUUUGAUUAUGCAGUGCGCCUUCAGACUCGAAUAUUGAAGUCGAUACGGAGCAUGCAGCUCAGAGCCUCCGUUGAUUUUCUGGUGGAGCUUUGUGACACUUUUUGUCCGAUUAGGAAACGCUCUCGCCACGUUAGCACUUUGCUUGGGGAGAAAGCGCGGGAAAGACUCAAUUCAACUUGGUCUCGGCGCGUGAUGACCGGCGGAUAGGACUGCGACUGCCGGAUUCAUCUCUUCAGGUUUUCCCUAUUAUAUUUUCCUUUCUUGCGUUGAAUUGAUUGUGUUUGAGGUGAGGAGGGGUGCGUGGGUUUCAUGGUGAGAAAACCUAACCAAAGGGGCAGAGGUCGGGGGAGAGGUAGUUUGGUUGUAACACUUGGUAAGGGUUCUUCUGGGGGUCCUGUGACUAAGGGUGUCCCGGACCAGAAUGUUUUCUCUGAUGAAACGUCUGAUCUUGGGAUUUUGGUUGUUGAUCAAACUGAAGAAGUGAAGAAUUUGGUGGUUGUUGAGGGGAAUGUGGAAGUGAAAUUAAAGUAGUGUGGAUGGGAAUGUUGAGGAAAUUGAAGUGGAUGAUGUGGCUUCUGAAUGCCAUGUAGUCCAUAGUGAUUGUUCUGAGAAAUGCCCUGAGGAUUGUGAUGAAACAGAGGAGAUUGAUCCGAAAUGAACCCUAUCAGAAUUUGGGUUGGAGAGGAUUGUUUCAAUCCAACUCAUCGGUGGGGAAAUUGGAGUAUAUUGCACCAAUUAAAAAUGGUGAUCAGACCCUGGUUUAUCCUUCUGAUGAGGAUAUUGAGGAAGGGGUUGUCAAGUGGAGGUCUAGCCUUGUGGGGUAGUUCCUUGAUAAAUCUCUUCCUUUCUACUUGGUGAAGAAAUCUGUUGCCAUUAUGUGGAAACAGUAUGGAGAGGUGGAGGUCUUCUCACUGGAAAAUGGAAUGUUUCUUUCUAGGUUUACUGAUGAUCAAUUGACUUGUGAUGCGGUUUUGGAGGCCAAGAUUUGGCAUGUUGCUAAUAAGCCAUUGAUAUUGUGGAAGUGGUUGCCUGAAAUGCAGGUUCUGAAAUUGACCUUAACCUCGGUUCCUUUGUGGGUGAAGCUCCUUCACCUUCCAAUGAAAUAUUGGACUCCCAAGUGCCUAAGUCUUGUUGCUUGUGGGGUUGGGAGACCUCUUUAUGGAGAUAAGGUCCCAGAAGAACAUAAGAGGUUAGGCUAUGCCCGGGUUUUAGUUGAGAUUGAUACUAAAUCCAAGUGCCCCAAAGAGAUUAUCAUUUGUAAGAGCAAUGGUGAGACUGUGCCUGUUGAAGUGCAGUAUCCUUGGCUUCCUCCCAAAUGCUCUCUCUGUGGUGGUUUUGGGCAUGUAGCUUAUGCUUGUUCCAAAAAAGAAAAAAAGAUCUGGCUCCCUAAGCAGGCUGGGUAUCAGGCAGUGAAGAAUAUUCAGAUGGCAGCUAAGCAAUCUACUCCCAAACAUUUUGAUCAGACUAUCCGGAAACCUUCUUCUGGGUCUAAGCCUAAGAGAAAGGAAGGUGGACUCCGGCUGUCUAAUUCCUUUGAUGCCAUAGGAAUGGAGAUUGAUGCUGAAGGUGAAGUACAUGAUAAAACACCUUCUACCUUCCUAGAUUUCUUUGAGAAGACUAUCUCUUCUCGGGACAAAGGGAAGGCGAAAAUUGGUGAGCAUGAGGAGGAUGUGGAUUUGGAGACGGGUUUCUCUCCAACCAAGUUAGUAUGAAGAUACUUAUCUGGAAUAUAAGGGGUUUUAACAUACCCUUUAAACAACAGGAGGUAAGGAAGGAAGUCAAGAGAUUGAAUGUAAAUAUUAUCUGCUUAGUUGAGACUCGGGUGAAGAAGGAUAAGGCUCAGAAUAUCAAGAAUGCUGUUCUCACUGGUUGGAACUUGAUUCAUAAUUAUGAUAUGCAUUGGUUGGGCAGGAUUUGGGUCUGUUGGGACCCAGGUAUUACCUCAAUUAAGCAACUGUCUUCUCAUGAGCAAGUGGUUACCUGCCAGGUUGAUAAUGGCACUAAUGGGGGCUCUUGGAUUUUGUCCAUUGUCUAUGGGACUUCAGCCGAUUGAAGGAUCUGAGCACAAACCCUCAACUGGUCCCACGUGUAAGGUUCAUGCUUCGUGAUGUUCUUGAUUUGAGGUCUAACAAUUGGGUUCCUAGACGUGAAGAGGUAAAAGCCAAAACCAUCACUGAGAUACACUCAAGAAGCAGGGAGAAAUCUUGGAUUGCGUCCAGGUGCUACGUACUGCAAGCAUUAGGAAUAGUCGUGGUAUUGACAUGGGUUAACAUGGGUUAACUCUUUUACAAUUUAUUGACAUGACUUAACAUGUAAUUAAAAGGUUUUAAUUA